UUUCCGUAGGUGAACCUGCGGAAGGAUCAUUAAAGUUAUAGUCCCCCGGCCCUCUGGGCUGGGGUCUUCUAUACCACCCUUUGUUUAUUACACCUUUGUUGCUUUGGCAGGCCUGCCCUCGGGCUGCUGGCUCCGGCCGGCUCGUGCCUGCCAGAGGACCUAAACUCUGUUCGUAUAUGAAGUCUGAGUACUAUAUAAUAGUUAAAACUUUCAACAACGGAUCUCUUGGUUCUG
This 234-nucleotide unclassified non-coding RNA is filed under the name plant metagenome. RNAcentral's name for it is "partial contains small subunit ribosomal RNA, internal transcribed spacer 1, and 5.8S ribosomal RNA". The record is from RNAcentral.